CGGUUCGCUGCCGACAACGUCACGAGAAGUCCACUGAACCUUAUCAUUUAGAGGAAGGAGAAGUCGUAACAAGGUUUCCGUAGGUGAACCUGCGGAAGGAUCAUUGUCGAAAUCGAACGGAAGGAUGACCCGCGAAUCGUCGUUGCGUAACGGAGAGAGCUCGUGAGCACCCAACGCUCACGCGGCUCGCGUCGCGUCGGCGCGGGUGUGCUCGAGACCCGCGUCGUACCGGCGUACAAACAACGUCAGCACGGAUCGUGCCAAGGAGCUGCAUGGAGAGAAUGGUCGUCCAGCGCCUUCGAUUGUCCCCGUUGCGGGACGGGGGCGGGGGAUGUACGCAAUCUCUGCUCAAAGUCUAAAUGACUCUCGGCAACGGAUAUCUCGGCUCUUGCAUCGAUGAAGAACGUAGCGAAAUGCGAUACUUGGUGUGAAUUGCAGAAUCCCGCGAACCAUCAAUUCUUUGAACGCAAGUUGCGCCCGAAGCCAUUCGGCCGAGGGCACGCCUGCCUGGGUGUCGUGAACCCCCCUGCCCCUAGGCCACCCGCACGCGCAUUGGCGGGGAAAUGCCCGGGCGCAGAAUAUGGUCUCCCGUGGGUUCGGCACGCACGACGUGCCGAGGUGCGGUUGGCCGAAAAUCGAGCAUGGCGGUGACGGGCACCACGGCGUUCGGUGGAUCGAACGAGAUUGGCUGCGUCGUGGGCUCGGCAUGCGGCGGGCUCCGGACUUUGACCAUCCCCGAGUGCGAUCCCAGGUCAGGCGGGGCUACCCGCUGAGUUUAAGCAUAUCAAUAAGC
RNAcentral lists this ribosomal RNA (793 nucleotides) under Blakea aff. brevibractea Penneys 1572. RNAcentral's name for it is "eukaryotic LSU rRNA". The stretch from base 362 to 517 matches the Rfam family "5.8S ribosomal RNA". Lineage: Eukaryota; Viridiplantae; Streptophyta; Magnoliopsida; Myrtales; Melastomataceae. The record is from RNAcentral.